AUUGUGCUCAAUUUAUAUUGGGGUCUAUUUGUUUUGAAGUAAAACAUUUUCCGGAAAAGCUUUUCAGCCUUUUCCUGUGAUUGUUUGGGCUGAAAAUAUUUUCCUCAAGUAAAAUCAAUUACAAAAAAAGAGGCCCUUAAUUUUGGAAAAUGUCUUACGGAUUUUAUUUCUGUAAGACAUUUUCCGGUUCCUCCUUCAUGAGCAACCAGUUUGUGUAAGUAGUUCAAGUAGGCAAUGUUUAAGUUCGAACCAGCGACUUCCUAGAGUUUUGCUGCGAGUAAAAGACGCGUCCAUUUCUUCAAACAGGUUAUUAAGGAUUUUGUGCAAGUGGUGAGAUUAAACAGGCAUCGAGUUUGUUUGACUGUGAUGUCAAACAUGAGGACUAUUUGCUAAAGAAUUAUUACAAAACAGCUUCAUUGAUUGCAGCUAGUACCAAGGGAGCCGCCAUUUUCAGUGGAGCUGAUCGUAGUGUAGCAGAGCAAAUGUAUGAAUAUGGAAAGAAUCUUGGCCUAUCAUUCCAAGUUGUUGAUGACAUAUUGGAUUUUACACAAUCAGCAGAAGUUGAAGCCUGUACCAAUAUAGAACAGCUUUCUUAGGAUAUUAAUUGGUUCCUUGUCACUGAUUGUAUAUUUAUACAAGGCUUUGAGCUUUGACUUGAACUCCUAGUUUCAAUGUCUUCAAAUUAUACAUUUGUCUGAGAAAAAAUAAUUUCUCUGUUAAAUUAAAUUGAUGAACAAUAAAGUUUUUGUGAUCAUCAAUAUUAAGCUAAUAAACUUCCAUUAUGUAUACAAGGAAAACCUAUGUUAUAGGGGUUUCUCUUUUUCUUCUUAAAGUAUUUGUGUUUGACGUUUAUUUGAAAAAGUGUAAAUAGAAUUUUGUUGUUUUUAA
Gossypium arboreum is the source of this 888-nucleotide long non-coding RNA. RefSeq lists it as uncharacterized. The transcript has 3 exons. Lineage: Eukaryota; Viridiplantae; Streptophyta; Magnoliopsida; Malvales; Malvaceae. The record is from RefSeq and is a predicted model, not a curated record.